AGUGAACGCUGGCGGUAGGCCUAACACAUGCAAGUCGAACGGCAGCACAGUAAGAGCUUGCUCUUACGGGUGGCGAGUGGCGGACGGGUGAGGAAUACAUCGGAGUCUACUUUUUCGUGGGGGCUAACGUAGGGACACUUACGCCAAUACCGCAUACGACCUACGGGUGAAAGCAGGGGAUCUUAGGACCUUGCGCGAUUGAAUGAGCCGAUGUCGGAUUAGCUAGUUGGCGGGGUAAAGGCCCACCAAGGCGACGAUCCGUAGCUGGUCUGAGAGGAUGAUCAGCCACACUGGAACUGAGACACGGUCCAGACUCCUACGGGAGGCAGCAGUGGGGAAUAUUGGACAAUGGGCGCAAGCCUGAUCCAGCCAUACCGCGUGGGUGAAGAAGGCCUUCGGGUUGUAAAGCCCUUUUGUUGGGAAAGAAAAGCAGCAGGUUAAUACCCCGCUGUUCUGACGGUACCCAAAGAAUAAGCACCGGCUAACUUCGUG
This 492-nucleotide ribosomal RNA is filed under the name uncultured bacterium. RNAcentral describes it as "partial 16S ribosomal RNA". It matches the Rfam family "Bacterial small subunit ribosomal RNA", at positions 29 to 507 of the family's 1533-position model. The record is from RNAcentral.